AUAGAAUGGAUGCAUCAGGGUCACGAAUAUCAUUAAUAGCAUAGUAAUUAGUAGUACUAAUAUUAUAUAGAACUUCACUACUAGAUAAGUCCAUUUAUGCUAGAUAAGGAACCAUCAAUAAUAUAUAAAGCCAAGUUGUAUCAAUUUAUUACAUCAUAAGCAAGACUAGAUAAAUAGUUGUUGAUAGGACUUAUGAAAUGCUGCAUAAGACCCAAGCAGCUAUCCAAUUUUUGUUGAUACCACAAAAGACUUGCUAAAAGCAUUAAGUUAAUGAAGUUUGCAACCAAAAUAAAGUACUUGUAACAUAGGACUCAAUACAUAACAUAUUAAUAUAUAAAAGAUUUUCCAGCAGUUGGUCCAACAGAUAAGGUAGAAGGGCUGGUACUAGAAUGUGCAAAUGUCUCUUCUCCAUUAGUAUUUGCAGCCGCUCUUGUUCCUCGCAUAGCUAAAGCCUCUGCAGUAGCUGGUGAAUUAGGAGCAACAUUUCAAUAUUUUUAUAAACUAAUUAAUCAUAAAAAUUGAUAACAAACUUCUCUUCAAUUAAAAACUUUACAGGCGUAACAAAUUUAAAGAAAUAGUCACACAAUAAUGCACAACUUAAACAAACUUUUUUAUAAACAAAAUUUCAACUAGAAUAAUAGAUUUAAAAAACAGUUGCACAAUAAUGCAUGAAUUUACAUAAAUCUUGGAUUGUGAAUCUUUAUCUCAAAUAUAUUGCCAUACUAGUCAUUAAACAUGUAAAAAUCACAUGUCUUUGUUGGUAACAGAAGAAAUAUCUUACACUUAAACAAAAAUCCAAAAUAGGGAAAAAAUAACCUUAGUUGUGUAUACAUAGUUAUAGAUACUCACUUUUCAUGACAAUAGAUCAACUUUUCAAAGUCCAGUACAUGUAAUAUACAAUGAAAAUUUAAUAUUCGUGAAAAUAAAACAUGGACAGUUCACAAUACAGAAAAACCCCCUAAAUCCUUUCCAAUAAAUAUCAUAAAGAUCUUUUCCAAAUCAUUACGAGUUGUUUCCAUUGAUAGAUCACUAUGUAGGUGAGUAAAACUUUUGGUUAAAAUGCUACAAGUUAGCCGUGCAAACUAUGAUGAGUUUAAUGAUGUACCAUCCUUCCAAACUCUUGUCACUUUCAAGAAGCCAAACAACACUACUACGAUCUUCUGUUUUGUUUUGGUUAUCAAUAGGAUUAAAAAGUAAAAUAUUUGAAUAAACAAGAAGAAGUAAAAUAAUGAGAGUUUAAAGAUUAAAACUGUGAGCUAUGCAAAGGAGAAUGGGUUAAUAAAGAGGGAGAGAGAGUGUAGAAGUAUGAUGAUGAAUACGAUGAUUGGAAGAGUAGUGGCAAACAUAUGGGAGACCUCUAUAGUUUUUCCCACCAAAAAGGGUAUUUGCAUAAUUUUAAAAUAAUUUUUUGUUUUAAAAUUUGAUCAGACAUGUUUAAGGGCAUUUAGUCUUUUUCCUUACUUCCAUUAAGCAUAUGUGUCAGAAGUUAUUUUGUGGGGUUAUCUGUUAUUUUUUGAAACCAUAAGGAUUGAUUAGUACUUUGGCCUAACUUUGAGGGAGGUAAAUGUAAUUAACUCAAAUCUUUUUGAAGUUGUUCUUAAUACUUCACACAGAAAUACAGAGUUUACAAAAUUAGCCUACAUAUGAGGCUAAGAAACUUGUGUAUAAAAAGGCAAAAACUUGGAUAGACCGUUCCAUGGCUCCAUUCAUUGACCAUGUGAUUCUUAAGCGGCCACAUCACUAGCUCCGAUUCCCUUGUGAACAAUAAUCAUGACUGAUUAUACUAUCAUUUUCAGCAACUUUGAGUGUGAAAAAUAAAUCUUUCCAUCUUUACUGCUACUGCUCUUAUUCAGUUUUAUUCAAGUCUCCAGCCAAUUCCCAUUUGGCAGUAGUGACAAGCUUAUCAUUAUUUAGAUCUUUAUUGGUAUAUUUUGCAUGAAAAAAUGGAAAGAUUUAUUAAUGAAGUCAUUCAUUUUGUUCGAACGAAUAGUAAGUUCUGUACAAAAUGCAAUAAGUUUUGCUUAAGAAAUAGUAAGGUUUUGUUAACGAUAUAGUAAAUUUUACUAAAAAGGUGGUAAGAUUUGUUAAUGAAGUUAUAAUAUUUUCUUGAAAAAUAGUAAGUUUUAUAUAAAAAUGGUAAGUUUUGGAAAAAGAAGUAGUAGUUUUUGCUUAAAAAAAAUCUAGUAAGAUUUAUUAUACUUAAAUAGCAAGUUACAAAAAUUAUAAAACUUACUUGUUUUGUGCAAAAACUUACUAUUAGUUACACCAAAUUUACUAUCACAAUGUUGUCCGUAGUGAAUUUAUGAUCGCAGGUUAAAACCUACCUAUGGCAUCAUAUCCACCACUAAAUUGUUUGUUCUGGGGACUUCAGACUUUUCUUUGUAUAUGAAAAAAGAUUUCCGGCAGGCUCGGGUUUUAUCCCACUGACCGCUUUUAUUUUCAUUAGGGCACGGGUUUUAUCCCUCCGACCUCGGCAGGCUCGGGUUUUAUCCCACUGACCGCUUUUAUUUUCAUUAGGGCCCGGGUUUUAUCCCGCCAAUCUCGGCAGGACCGGGUUUAAUCCCGCUGACCGCUUAUAUCACAUUGGGACCGGGUUUUAUCCCGCCAAUCUCGGCAGGACCGGGUUUAAUCCCGCUGACCGCUUAUAUCACAUUGGGACCGGGUUUUAUCCCGCCAAUCUCGGCAGGACCGGGUUUCAUCCCGCUGACCGCUAUCUCACGUUGGAACUGGGUCUUAUCCCGCCAACCUCGGCAGAACUGGGUUCUAUCCCGCUGACCGCUUUAAUCACGUUGGAACUGGGUCUUAUCCCGCCAACCUCGGCAGAACUGGGUGCUAUCCCGCUGACCGUUUAUCACGUUGGAGCUGGGUUUUAUCCCGCCAACCUCGGCAGAACUGAGUUCUAUCCUGCUGACCGUUUACAUCGCUAUUGGAGCAUGGGUCAGUCCCGCCAGUAAGCAUUUCAUUUACAGCUACUGGAGCAUGGGUCAGUCCCGCCAGUAAGCAUUUCAUUUACAGCCACUGGAGCAGAGGUUAGUCCCGCCAGUGUGCAUUUCAUUUACAGCCACUGGAGCAUGGGUCAGUCCCGCCAGUAAGCAUUUCAUUUACAGCCACUGGAGCAGAGGUUAGUCCCGCCAGUGUGCAUUUCAUUUACAGCCUACUGGAGCAGAGGUUAGUCCCCGCCAGGUGCAUUUUCGGAUUUUUCAUAGCCACUGAGCAGAGGUUAGUCCCGCGCCAGGUGUGCAUUUCAUUUACAGCCACUGGAGCAGAGGUUAGUCCCGCCAGUGUGCAUUUUCAUUUUCAUAGCCACUGGAGCAGAGGUUAGUCCCGCCAGUGUACAUUUCAUUUUCACAGCCACUGGAGCGUGAGGCGAGUACCGCCAGUGUGCCUUUUAAUUGCAUUCGCCGCUAGCCGUUGGGUUUGUCCCACUAGUGAGCCUUUCAUUUGCAUUUGCCGCUAGCCGUUGGGUUUGUCCCACUAGUGUGCCUUUCAUUUGCUUUCGCCGCUAGCCGUUGGGUUUGUCCCACUAGUGUGCCUUUCAUUUGCUUUAGCCACUAGCCGUGGGUCAAUCCCACUAGUGAGCAGUUCAUUUUGUUUAGCCACUAGCCGUGGGUCAGUCCCACUAGUGAGCCUUUCAUUUUACUUAGCCACUAGCCGUGGGUCAGUCCCACUAGUGAGCAGUUCAUUCUGUUUAGCCACUAGCCGUGGGUUAGUCCCACUAGUGAGCAUUUCAUUUUGUUUCGCCACUAGCCGUGGGUCAGUCCCACUAGUGUGCAUUUUAUUUACUUUGCCGCUAGCCGUGGGUCAGUCCCACUAGUGUGCACCAUGAUUUUCAUUUUAUUCUGGUCAGUCCCAUGAUUAAAAGCUUAUUCGGGUCUAUCCCAUUUACAUUUCUGUUCGGGUCAGUCCCGUUUAAUUUCUGUUCGGGUCAGUCCCGUUUAAAUUCUGUUCGGGUCAGUCCCGUUUAAAUUCCUGUUCGGGUCAGUCCCGUUUAAAUCUCCUGUUCGGGUCAGUCCCGUUUAAUUUCUGUUCGGGUCAGUCCCGUUUAAAUUCUGUUCGGGUCAGUCCCGUUUAAAUUCCUGUUCGGGUCAGUCCCGUUUAAAUUCUGUUCGGGUCAGUCCCGUUUAAUUCCUGUUCGGGUCAGUCCCGUUUAAAUUCCUGUUUCGGGUCAGUCCCGUUAAUUCCUGUUCGGGUCAGUCCCGUUUAAAAGUCAGUCCCGUUUAAAUUCUGUUCGGGUCAGUCCCGUUUAAAUUCUGUUCGGGUCAGUCCCGUUUAAAUUCCUGUUCGGGUCAGUCCCGUUUAAUUUCUGUUCGGGUCAGUCCCGUUUAAUUCGUGUUCGGGUCAGUCCCGUUUAAAUUCGUGUUCGGGUCAGUCCCGUUUAAAUUCUGUUCGGGUCAGUCCCGUUCAAUUCAUGUUGGGGUCAGUCCCCUCGGGUCAGUUCCGAUUUCAAAUUCAUGUUGGUGUCAGUCCCGUCUUUUAAAUUCUUGUUCAGAUCAGUCCAUUAUAAAUUUCUCGUCCCGGUCAAUCUCGUCAAAAUGGGUCAGUCCCCAUCGUUCGAGUCAUUCACAGCCGAAUAAUGCAGGUAAGUAUUUGGUGUCUACUUCUUUGUCUCAAGUUUUUCCAAAACUCAAACAAAGAGGGGCAAACUGUAGACACCAAAUUUUUAGUGUUGUUUUCUUGUAUUUUCUUUAGUUUUUAUGUUAUUAUUUUAUUUUCUUUUCUUUUUUUAGUAAUUUUAGCAUAGGAAUUUAUUGAAAAAGAAAAAGAAAAAUCCUUCACAAAAAAUAUAUUUUAUUCCUUUUCAAAUACAAGUUAUUGUUUAUCAAUUGGAAAAAAGAGGGAAAAGAGAAAAGAAAAGAAAAGAAAAUUAGCAUUCUAUUUUUAUCUUAAUUAGCUUUUCUUCAUUAGUUAUCUAUAUUUUUUAUUAAUUAGUUAUCUAUAUUAAUUAGUUAUAAAAAAAGGAAAAAAAAGAAGAAAAGGUGUCGCAUGCAUGCUGCAUUUUUUUUUGCAACUUUGCAAGGAAGGACUAGGCGGCUCCUUGGUUGCAAAUACAGAAGAGCUGGCUGAAGUUUAGGGUUGGGGUUCCCGUAUAAAUAGAAAAGAAAGGCAGCCGCAAGGGGGGGUUUUUUGGUUGACGGCUGCAAUUUGAGAGGAAGGACAAGAGAGUAGAGGGCCGUAGGAUGAAGGGUUCUGGGGAAGUUGGGGAGCAUACAGAGAGCCAAAAAGAGAGGGAGAGCAAAACAGAGAAAAGGGGCUGAGGGAAAAGCUAAGGGGGAAGAGACAGAGGGGCUUGACGGAAGAGAAGGGAAGACUGGGAGUGGGUGGCCGAGAGUUUGAGAGCUUCCGUGAGAGAGAGUCUGAGGUUUGAGAAAAGAGAGGAUACGGGGGGAGAGAUUUUAGAGUGAAACAGCGAAAGAAAAACUGAAAAGAGGAGCUGGAGUUGCGGCUGCAUCUGGAAAAGAGAAGUUAUAGGAGGAAGACCGACGAAAGGAAGAAACUAGGAGGCUUGUUUUCCAGAAGUUCCAUAGAAGAUUGACGCCGGCUCAUUUCUUUUGGCUUCAGCCUUGUCAAAAUCUUUAUCAGGUAAUCCAUUGAACUAAAGGUUGCACCUUUGGUCCUCCUCUGUGUGCGUGGGUUUGGUUUUAGAAUUCUUGGGAUUCCAAAAUACAAGAUUCAAUCUUGAUUGUUGCCUUGGGUUGGACACUUGGUACUUGUUCGGACUUUUGGCAUGAAACCCAGAAAUUGUAGUCUAGUCAACUAGGAUUCUGCUAGGAAGAUACAUGAACUGACAUCUCUUUUGCCGCUGAUUUGUUGGGCUUGUUCCAUAGUUUCGUUAUGUUUACUCCUUGAGGUUUCUCUUGCCUUUGCUUUCCUGUUUUCUGCUGUCUUGUGCAUUUUGACCGUGAGUUUUGAAAAUAAAAAGUAUUGGCCGUAUGGUUUGGUUGGGAUUUCAUUUCCCUGUCGGUUGGUAUCUAGAUGUCAGAAUUUCUGGUUUUGGUUGCUGAAGCUUUAGUUCGAUAAAAAUCUAUGAUUUGUGGUUCAGUUAUGCAUGUCUAUUUUAAGUUUCCUGAUUUCCAUCUCUGCUGCAUUUUUUUAAUUUCUGGACCAAGAAACUUAUAAGGACUUGCGUCCCUUGCCAUUUUUUUUACUGUUAAGCAACUCAGAUUCUAGCUUUGGUCGAGUGAAUGCUCAGUCGAGUGAAUAACUGAGACUUGUAGUGUAUGUUUCUUUUGUUUAAAAAUCCGGAUGCUCAUCAGACUUGAUUGCCGAGAGUUGAUGGGUAAAUGUUUUGGUUAAUGGUAGCAAUGGAUCGAGGUUGAUGCACCUGAGCUUAUUUGAAGGAUGUAAUUUGCAGAAAAACAAAACUUCAUUAACU
RNAcentral lists this long non-coding RNA (6373 nucleotides) under Coffea arabica (coffee). RNAcentral's name for it is "long non-coding RNA (CARA_LNC006854)". Lineage: Eukaryota; Viridiplantae; Streptophyta; Magnoliopsida; Gentianales; Rubiaceae. The record is from RNAcentral.